CACGUAGGGUGCGAACGUUGUCCGGAAUUACUGGGCGUAAAGAGCGCGCAGGCGGUCGUUCAAGUCGAGUGUGAAAGCCCCCGGCUCAACUGGGGAGGGUCACUCGAUACUGAUCGACUCGAAGGCAGGAGAGGGUAGUGGAAUUCCCGGUGUAGUGGUGAAAUGCGUAGAUAUUGGGAGGAACACCAGUGGCGAAGGCGGCUCACUGGACCGGAACUGACGCUGAGGCGCGAAAGCGUGGGGAGCAAACAGG
This 253-nucleotide ribosomal RNA is filed under the name uncultured bacterium. RNAcentral describes it as "partial 16S ribosomal RNA". It matches the Rfam family "Bacterial small subunit ribosomal RNA", at positions 524 to 776 of the family's 1533-position model. The record is from RNAcentral.